RNAcentral lists this small RNA (771 nucleotides) under Histoplasma capsulatum. RNAcentral describes it as "hypothetical RNA". RNAcentral also lists the same sequence under 1 other name. Lineage: Eukaryota; Fungi; Ascomycota; Eurotiomycetes; Onygenales; Ajellomycetaceae. The record is from RNAcentral.
ACGGAGGGCAUCCGUGCAACAUUACUUUCCAACUCCCAAUUCAUCAAUAACAGGGACAAGAGAUGCGGACAUUACUGAGCACUCUACGUAAAUUCACGCCCGUUCAAUAUCAGCCAGUUUCCAUUAUCUCUUGAAUACUAACUAGUAGUUUGAUAAUACCUAAAACACAUUACGAACCGGUGUUCCUGAAUUAUCCGUCCUCGAUGAACACAGAGUGUCAAAGACCACAAGAGCUGACAGCAAAGAAACCAAAGUUUUGAAACUUGUUUAUCACUGCCAGCGCCACAAUCGCAGCCCAAAAAGUCUACAAAUCUAUCUGGCCCAGCAGCAAUGCCAGGCAUUCCAAAUUGUCAUGCAAUCAAUGCCUGACAAAUCAGUUGACAGAGCGUGAGGCAAGCUCAUCUCGAUCUCUCAUCAACUCCAUAUCUAUCUCUCAUCUUCAAAUGCUGAAAAACAAAGACAAUCCAUAUUGAGGGCACGGAUGGUGGUCUAGUAAACUUUUCUGCGCUAUGUGAGAGCUGGGAUGAUAGAUGACUAUAAAUCCAUUUUGCACAUGGUAAUUUCUCACAGCGCAAUGUCAUGAUUAUGACUGCUAAAAAAUGGCGGGGUAAAGACUGUUUUUGGGCUGGGAUGGAGCAGACUGAUACCCAGAGUAUUGGAAUCAAUAGAGUACUUUCGGAAGACCCUGGGAUACGUGAUUACUAUCUAUAUCUCAAAGCACGUUAUACGUUAUUCACUUCAAGUAUAUGUAGGGUUAUCAUAGCGAUGGGA